This 433-nucleotide ribosomal RNA is filed under the name uncultured bacterium. RNAcentral's name for it is "partial 16S ribosomal RNA". It matches the Rfam family "Bacterial small subunit ribosomal RNA", at positions 29 to 507 of the family's 1533-position model. The record is from RNAcentral.
AACGAACGCUGGCGGCAUGCCUAACACAUGCAAGUCGAACGAGACCUUCGGGUCUAGUGGCGCACGGGUGCGUAACGCGUGGGAACCUGCCCUUAGGUUCGGAAUAACUCCCCGAAAGGGGUGCUAAUACCGGAUAAUGUCUUCGGACCAAAGAUUUAUCGCCUUUGGAUGGGCCCGUGUUGGAUUCGCUAGUUGGUAGGGUAAAAGCCUACCAAGGCGACGAUCCAUAGCUGGUCUGAGAGGAUGAUCAGCCACACUGGGACUGAGACACGGCCCAGACUCCUACGGGAGGGAGCAGUGGGGAAUAUUGGACAAUGGGCGAAAGCCUGAUCCAGCAAUGCCGCGUGAGUGAUGAAGGCCUUAGGGUUGUAAAGCUCUUUUACCCGGGAUGAUAAUGACAGUACCGGGAGAAUAAGCUCCGGCUAACUCCGUG